GGGCGUAUCAAAACCUAAAACAGGUAUUUCUGAUGUGCUAAACACAGACUUUUGGAGGUAAAUUAGCAGCAUGACUACCGCCGCCAACUGCUGUCAGUCACCUUCAGAAAUGU
Molecule: small nucleolar RNA, 113 nt
Filed under: Peromyscus maniculatus bairdii (prairie deer mouse)
Lineage: Eukaryota; Metazoa; Chordata; Mammalia; Rodentia; Cricetidae
Source: RNAcentral